CGCACUGCGUGUUAAGAUUUUGGUGGUUUUAGAGAUUGUCCGUGCCUCUUAUUUAGGGGUACGCCUGGAGGUGGGAGACUGCUGAGGAAAGAUUGAAACGUGGGAGGGCGGUUUCUUUGCUAACGAGAUCGUGCUCUUUAUGAAGCAGCAUCUGUCCCUGGUGAAAAGUUGCUGUGCAUGCUGAAGAGCCAGCACAGCAACGACUAGCGCAAUAGGCUGGCCUCAUUUCCUCUCUUCCCGGUAGAAUUCAAUGUUAACUGAAAACUAACCACGCGCCCCACUCCACCCCCGAGGGUCCUGCCUCUGGCUCUGGGUUAGCUCAGCUAUCCUGGAUCCCGAGCUCACGCACAGAAAAUCCAGGCGCCUGCCAACACCGUUACUCAGUUUUUGGGACCUUCUUUCUCAUUCCACGCCCCGCUUCCCACCCCCCGCGUUUCCUAUGGCUAGAAUCAUUUUCCGCAAAGGAAACAGUUUUUAGUGAUGUCGUCCACGAGAAAAAAAAAGAUUUAACCCUGGCUUCUGGGCUUUGUCAUUCUCGUACAGCCCUCUGCCCCUCCACACUGUUAUAAAGAAGCCCGUGGGCGGUCGAACCUUCCCUCUGCGGAAGGAGGACUGCAUUGUGUGCGGCCGCCGCGCUCCGAGGUCCCCGGGCCUCUGUCUCCCGAGCGUCCUCCUGCAGCGGGCCUUCGGGGCCGGUAGCCGGCUGGAGUACGGGGCCCUGGGGAGCCGCGCGCCUUCUCCGGCGUCCGGGUCGAGCGCAG
Molecule: small RNA, 761 nt
Filed under: Pongo abelii (Sumatran orangutan)
Lineage: Eukaryota; Metazoa; Chordata; Mammalia; Primates; Hominidae
Description: processed transcript
Source: RNAcentral